AUUAUACUAUUUUUUGGUGCUUUUUUUUUUUAUUAUUGUAGGAUAGCAGUAGUAAUAAUAUGUCUCAAGUGUUAUCAAAAGUAGGAGAUCAAGUAGAAAAAAGAACAAUAAACGAAAUGUUACUUUUAUGUAGAGCUUGGGAAAAUUAUGUCCACCCGAGGGCCAAAGAAUACUGGAAGGAUUCGCAACAACUUCAAAAUAUUCUAUGUAUAAAAAAUAAUAUAAAUAAAUAAAAAAAAAAACAUCUUAAUGAAUAUUUUUACGUUCAUAGUAAUUACAUGUUGAAUGAAAAAAGUAUCACAAAAAAAUGUGACAAUUUUUUUUUUUUUUUUUUAAUAUUAGAUUAAAACGCAAGCAACAGUACAUGCAUGAUUGUAUGUAUGUAUGUAUGUAUGUAUUUAUUUGUUUGUGUAUAUAUGUGCAUGUAUUAGUUAUACCUACUUACAAUGGACGAUAUAAAAAAUAAAGCAAAGAAUAAUAUAUAAAUGCGUGUAUAUAUAUAUAUAUAUAUAUAUAUAUAUAUAUAUGUAUAUAUUUUUUUUUUAGGUAAGAUUGCAGAUGGUAUUACAAAAAAUGACGACCCUAUUUUGGGUGAUGAUUAUGCAUGCGUUUUUUGGCAUGGGGAAAAAAAUAAAAAUGACAACUGUCCAAUCAUAUCAGUAAAAAAGGGAAAUGAUAACAUUGAAACUAUAACUUACGUCAACCGAGUUCUUAUAUUCUUAUAUGCAGAUGAGGCAAGUUUUCAAGAAUUACAAAAAAAACCUAAGAAGGCAUUUACCAUGGCUUGUGGUAAUAUCAAUUGCAUUAAUUUAACACACAUAUCUUUAGAUGAUUAAGUAUGUAAAUAAGGUAAAAGUGUGAUAAAAUAAAAUAACGCGAGUAAUAAAAACA
This 891-nucleotide long non-coding RNA is filed under the name Piliocolobus tephrosceles (Ugandan red Colobus). Its description in RNAcentral is "lncRNA (ENSPTEG00000001684.1)". Lineage: Eukaryota; Metazoa; Chordata; Mammalia; Primates; Cercopithecidae. The record is from RNAcentral.